UAAACGGCUCUUUUCAGAGCCACCCAAAAUAACAAGAGAUUCUGA
Ciona intestinalis (vase tunicate) is the source of this 45-nucleotide non-coding RNA. The record is from Rfam. Lineage: Eukaryota; Metazoa; Chordata; Ascidiacea; Phlebobranchia; Cionidae.